GGAAAUAAGAGAUUCAAACUAUUCUGAAUGAAUAAAAAUGAGAAUUUAAAAAAUAUGAACUCGGCUUCCCAUUGACCCUCUUCACCCUGGAUACCAAAGUCUAAAUUCAAAUAAAAGGAAGAUCUCACUUUUCUCACAUGCAAUCACAAGUUCUACAUGCAGAAAUAAAAGGUUUUCAUUUUGGUUGUUUUAUGUUAGAUAUAGAGGUUUAACAUAUUAUGCAUGUCAUACAUCUAUAAUUUGUAUAGUGGCUGUAUGUAGUCUUCGUUUUUUAUUCUACUUUGUAUGUAUUUUAAAGCAAACAUUAGAUUUUUCAUAUUUGUUUUCCUCUCUCAUAGAUCUUUGGCUUUCUGAAUAUGAUACUUUGGGGAGGAAAUGCUUGGUUUGUGUACAAGGAGACCAGCUUACAUAGUCCAUCAAAUACGUCAGCUUCUCAUGGCCAAGGAGGUGUCCCACCCACUUCUGGAAUGUAAUUAAAGGGAGAAAUACACUGUAUGAAAUGUGUGCUAUACUAUGCCUUGUUGCCAACAUCUUGAGAAGCAUUAUUGUUUCUAAUAAAAAGUAAUGGCUUUUUCAGUAAAUUGUGGGUUUAAAAAUUUGCUGCUUUUCUACAUAAAACGUGCCUUUUCUAGAAAUUUAAGAUGUAAAUGUAUUUUUACAUGUAAGUUUGAAAAUUCAGGAGCCUGUUAUGAGAUGAUGUUACUUUUAACUGAACAAUAAUUUAACUAAGUUGCUUCUAAAGUGUUUACACCUUAAACUUAACAUAAACCUUCACUCAGAGAACAGUUAUGUUGUAUCAUAAUAUAGGAAGAAUGUUUGGAAUAUACACUACUGGUAGUUUGUACACAUCAUAUCCUUAAGGCUUGGCUUGUUUAAGAAAACCUAUUUGCAUAAAUCAUAUUUAGAAAAAAUUAGUGCAAUUUUAUAUUUGAAUAUUGUUCAUGUU
This 946-nucleotide long non-coding RNA is filed under the name Rattus norvegicus (Norway rat). Its description in RNAcentral is "long non-coding RNA NONRATT024227". Lineage: Eukaryota; Metazoa; Chordata; Mammalia; Rodentia; Muridae. The record is from RNAcentral.